This is a long non-coding RNA of Strongylocentrotus purpuratus (purple sea urchin), 157 nucleotides long. RefSeq lists it as uncharacterized. The record is from RefSeq and is a predicted model, not a curated record. NCBI's taxonomy places the organism in Eukaryota, Metazoa, Echinodermata, Echinoidea, Camarodonta, Strongylocentrotidae. The transcript is spliced from 2 exons.
UAUCAGCACUUUCGCUACAGCGCAAAACAAGACCGUACGAAGGUUCAUCAACCAUGUUGGUUGAUCCUAGUUUUUCCUUCAUUUAUAAUCAAAAACUGAAGGAUUCACACGAUUGUUGAAUGUGCUUUACAGCGCCACAACUAUUAAAGGGAAGCUA